GAAGGCCCCCCUCUAGCGACCCCUAGUGGAAGCUUCCUCCGCCGGUCGCCUCCAGCGGCUCCCUUCAGCACAACCACAAAUUUUACGCCCCUCUCGAAAUCGGUUCUGCUUGUUCAUUUAGCAACCUCCUCUUUGCAUAUGUUUUAACUGUUGUUAUUUUCAAUUUUGGGUAAAUCUAUUGAUAAAGAAUUUACAAUGAGGAAAUUAAUGUUGUC
RNAcentral lists this long non-coding RNA (215 nucleotides) under Phaseolus vulgaris (common bean). Its description in RNAcentral is "long non-coding RNA (PVUL_LNC003375)". The record is from RNAcentral. Lineage: Eukaryota; Viridiplantae; Streptophyta; Magnoliopsida; Fabales; Fabaceae.